CGCGUAGGCGGCUAUGUAAGUGUGAAGUGAAAUCCCACGGCUCACCCGUGGACGUGCUUUGCAAACUGCAUGGCCCGAGGAUGGUAGGGGAGAGCAGAACUCCUGGUGGAGCGGUGAAAUGCGUAGAUAUCAGGAGGAAUACCGGUGGCGAAGGCGGCUCUCUGGUCCAUUUCUGACGCUGAGGUGCGAAAGCUAGGGUAGCGAACG
Molecule: ribosomal RNA, 207 nt
Filed under: uncultured bacterium
Lineage: Bacteria
Description: partial 16S ribosomal RNA
Rfam family: Bacterial small subunit ribosomal RNA
Source: RNAcentral